Molecule: ribosomal RNA, 826 nt
Filed under: uncultured Bacteroidota bacterium
Lineage: Bacteria; Pseudomonadati; Bacteroidota
Description: bacterial SSU rRNA
Rfam family: Bacterial small subunit ribosomal RNA
Source: RNAcentral
AACACAUGCAAGUCGAGGGGAAACGGCAUUGAGUGCUUGCACUGAAUGGACGUCGACCGGCGCACGGGUGAGUAACGCGUAUCCAACUUUCCCGUUACUGCGGGAUAACCUGCCGAAAGGCAGACUAAUACCGCAUGUUCUUCGAUGACGGCAUCAGAUUCGAAGCAAAGAUUCAUCGGUAACGGAGGGGGAUGCGUCUGAUUAGCUUGUUGGCGGGGCGACGGCCCACCAAGGCGACGAUCAGUAGGGGUUCUGAGAGGAAGGUCCCCCACAUUGGAACUGAGACACGGUCCAAACUCCUACGGGAGGCAGCAGUGAGGAAUAAUGGUCAAUGGGCGGAAGCCUGAACCAGCCAAGUAGCGUGCAGGAGGACGGCCCUACGGGUUGUAAACUGCUUUUAUGCGGGGAUAAAGUGAGGGACGUGUCCCUUUUUGCAGGUACCGCAUGAAUAAGGACCGGCUAAUUCCGUGCCAGCAGCCGCGGUAAUACGGAAGGUCCGGGCGUUAUCCGGAUUUAUUGGGUUUAAAGGGAGCGUAGGCCGGGGAUUAAGUGUGUUGUGAAAUGUAGGCGCCCAACGUCUGACUUGCAGCGCAUACUGGUUCCCUUGAGUACGCGCAACGCCGGCGGAAUUCGUCGUGUGGCGGUGAAAUGCCUAGAUAUGACGAAGAACCCCGAUUGCGAAGGCAGCCGGCGGGAGCGCAACUGACGCUGAAGCUCGAAGGUGCGGGUAUCGAACAGGAUUAGAUACCCUGGUAGUCCGCACAGUAAACGAUGGAUGCCCGCUGCUGGUACCUGGUAUCAGCGGCUAAGCGAAAGCAUUAAGCAU